GUCGGACAUGGGUGGCAGCCGGGCGCCACCUGCGGGGCAUCACUCAGGCAGGACCCGGCCCAAGCUCGAGCGAUGCAGGCGCCACCGGAGGAGCGCUCAGAACCCGGAGGGACUAGGCGGGGCGCUGAAACCACCCGCAACGAACUUUGACGAAAGACUUUUGCAGCUGAAAUCCGCAAAUGCCUUUAGUAUCCUCCCUGAGGCGAGCAAGAGACAAAAAUGACUUUAGAGCGACCCCGACCCUAUUUUACCACCCACAGACACACAAGAACGAACAACACAGCGAAAGUACAAAACCUAAUCCCUGCUCUUUAUGAAAUAGGCAUUUAAGAACAUAAAGAAGCAGAGCUCAAGGGGGAGAAAAUAUUUGCAAAACAAUGAAGUGAAAUGAUCUCCUGGGAAAGGUAGGAAGCAGGAGAAAGGCGGAGUGAAACCUCAGGGAGUUUCGCCGCGCUUCGGCUCCACCCGGGAGACCAAAGCCCUGGACCGCUCAGCUGGAGGCUCAGACGUUUCCCCCGCGCGGUGAACAGCAGUGUGCUCUGCAUUCCGUCGCCAAGUCCCGGUCCCAGAGGCGGUGGCUGAGGGCCCCACGUUCCUUCAUUGCAUCCUGGCGCUGCUUCAGCUGCGGGACUGUCCCUGGACCGCGCGGGUCGACCCUCACUCUCUUUGCUAUGACAUCACCAUCAUCCCUAAGUGCAGACCUGGACCACGGUGGUGUUCAGUUCAAGGCCAGAACCCCUCACCCUGCAGGCCAGGAUGUCUUGUGAGCAGAAAGCCGAAGGACACAGCAGUGGAUCUUGGCAGUUCGGUUUCAAUGGACAGAUCUUCCUCCUCUUUGACUCAGAGAUCAGAAUGUGGACAACGGUUCAUCCUGGAGCCAGAAAGAUGAAAGAAAAGUGGGAGAAUGGCAAGGAUGUGACCAUGUCCUUCCAUUACAUCUCAAUGGGAGACUGCACAAGAUGGCUUGGGGACUUUUUGAUGGGCAUGGACAGCACCCUGGAGCCAAGUGCAGGAGGUAACUGAAGAAAGAGAAAUGGGGAUCUCAAGUGGGUAUCCCUGGAGGAGGCUCAGAAGAAAGCAAUCUGGGGCAUUCCCAAGAGGAGGGGGUUUUGAGUUCCCGGGCACACUCAAUUCCUGUGGCAGAAGUUUAGGGCUUCAUUCCAGAGAAACCAGUUCGGGUACCAGCGAUUAAUGUGGAAAGUGAAGAGAAGAGAGUGUCCAGGACAAGGUUUAGAAAAGCCCAAACCCCUGGGACACAUGGGAUUCCUGGCCGGGCCCUGGGCUGAUGCCCCUGCCAUCCCACCUCCAUCACACUCCAGAUCCUGAGCCAGCUGAUGGCUCUGUCUGGAGCAGAGUGGACUCAGAGACCAGGGAUAUGGUGGCACAUGGGGGCGGGUGACCUGCUGCUGGAGUUUCAUGCUUACCUCUGAGCUCACCAGGAAUGGAUGGCACAGGCCAUGGACAGUCACAUUCAGAGUUAUGGGUGCCACUUCAAGGUGAUGUGGGAAGCUCUCUGAUGUGGAACAUCAAGGAAAUGGUAGGUACAGGCUUCAGGGCCAGGGCUGGGUGUGCAGGGAAAAACCUGCCCCUCAGUGACAGGGGCUGUGAGAUGGGGAGUAGUGACUAUGGAGGGGUUUCCCAGGACAAAUGACCCAGGAUUUCUUCAGCGACAUAAACCAACGCUGUGUCUUUUUGGAAGGGUGAACAUGUCCCCAAGAAGGCACCGUGAGCAUGGUCUCCUUCAAAGUCUUUAUUCUUGCUGUCAGCAUGUCCAUCAUAAUAUAAAGUUAGCAGUAAAAUAUUCCACUAAAGUGCAGUAUAUUUUCUCAUGUUGGUAUUGCAUUUCUGUUUCUUUGUCAGACUAGAACAUCUGAACUAGUAAAAGAUUAAGCAACCCAAAUGCUGGAUUAAAAAAAUGUUAAACCUUUCAAAUAUAUUAAUGAGGACUUAAAAGUAACACACAAUAAGAAGUAUCACAUGAAUCUAAAUCUCUCCACAUAGUUUCAAAAAUAUAGAGAUCAAAUAAUAGGGCAAAGAAAGCACCCUGAUCUAUAUUUUCAGUAAAAUGAGUAGAUAGGAAAUGCCUAAAUCCAUCAGAUCCUUGUCUGUAAAACAGAUAAUCGAAACAACUGGUGAAUCUUGGGUAGUGUCUGAGCAUGAGAUGGAUGUAAGGUAUGGAUGUGAAAUCUGUUUUGGUGAUUGUAUUGUGCUUAUUAGGAGAGUGUCGUGGUUUGUAGGAAGAACACUAAAGUAUGGAGCAUGAGGUGGCAUCAUUAAAGAUGAGGCAUCAGUGUGGCAGCUCGCUCUCAAGUAGUGCAGGCAGAGAAGUUCUCUGGAUUCUGCUUGCAAAUACUUUGCAAUUCUUGGUGGUUUCACAUUGGUUUUUUUGUUUGUUUUGUUUUGUUUUGUUUUACUAGUUGAA
This is a long non-coding RNA of Piliocolobus tephrosceles (Ugandan red Colobus), 2422 nucleotides long. RefSeq lists it as uncharacterized. The transcript is spliced from 3 exons. The record is from RefSeq and is a predicted model, not a curated record. NCBI's taxonomy places the organism in Eukaryota, Metazoa, Chordata, Mammalia, Primates, Cercopithecidae.